GGGGAGGGGAGCCGAACGCGCGACCUGGCCUAGGCGGAGCGGCUCGGCGCUGCGCGAUCGCUCUCCUGAGGGUCCGCGUGUCGCUUUUUGUGUUGUGCGGGGCGCUGGGUCUGUGUUCCCCCGCGCAGUCGCGUGCGGCAGAGAGACACCAACUCUACCAGCAGCUCUGUGAACACGCGGUAGCGAGAUCCCACUUUUCCUCGUGGGUCUUCCACGGUGCGAGGUUGUUGACAGGUCCGGAACCUUUCCCCAGCCCCGAACUACAAGCCCCCCGCGCCGCGUUUCCACAUUCUCCUUGCCCGCCGCCCCCCCACGGCUUCCCGGACUCUGCGCUUGGCUGCCCUCCCCACACACGCGGCUGUUUGUUUUUGUUGGGUUUGUCAAUGUUGUCUUUGUUUGGGAGACUGUGUCAUCGCCUGGAUGCCGGGAAUAAAGUGCGACCCUGAGUGACCAAGUGUGUAACGUGUGUGGCCGGCCGGGGAUACGUGUGAUGGCGCGCAAGUGUAAAAGCCUUGGUGAGUACUACCGCAGCCGCGCGUGGGGAGCGUGUGAAACUUCGACGUGCGUAUGCUAAUGUGUGUGAAGAGGAAUGGAAACGUGCACGGGCGAGCAGGUGUCGCAGCGCAGAUUGCUGACCCACAAUUUGCACACGCACUGCCCUGACACCCCAAGAGCCGCUGCGACGCCUGCUGGACAGAGGGGAGACUUGCAGGUACUGUACAGUCCAGACAGAGUCCACGCGGGAGAAAGCCGGCGCAGAGACCGACCUGCAGACCAACGCAGCCACGGUCCUGUCUCCUCCCCCACCCCAGCCCCCAGCUUGCCCAGGCGGGAAUUGUCUCGGCUCUGGCAUUGGGCUCUCACCGCAAACUUGUGCGCUUGUGAAGGCUCUCAAUACUGCUGCCCCCCAGGCAAACAUCUGUGCUUAGUCUGAGGUGUUUGUCUGUCUGUCUGCCUGUCUGGGAAAUUCCCCUCGUGAGCCCUUUCUGUGAAUUCCCGAGAGACAGGUUUAACCCUUUGAAUGCCAUGGGUGAGGCCCGACCAGAGGGAAGUGCUUGCCACCUGUGGGGGAACUGCCGGCCUGGAGGCGCCAUUUCUAGUCUGGAACAGGCAGAGCUGCUUGCUUGAUUGCUACUCUUUCUCUGAGCACCCUGUGGUUUGGGGUGGCAGAGGGCCACAGGGCUCUGGGGCACCUGCUAGCCCGGCCCAGCCCCUGAUGGCAUCUCUGGACAAUGGAUUGGGGGUGGGAAGCCUGAGCCUGGAGUAGCCUUUGUUCCACUCCCUCAAUGUCAUUCUGAAAAAUAAAGUGUAUGUUUUACCCUGGCUGGUGUGGCUCACUGGACUGAGUGCCCACGUGGGAACCAAAGGGUCGCUGGUUUGAUUCCAGUCAGAGCAAAUGCCUGGGUUGUGGGCCAGGUCCCCAGUAGGGGGCGUGUGAGAGAGGCAACCACACAUUGAUGUUUCUUUCCCUCUCUUUCUCCCUCCC
This is a long non-coding RNA of Artibeus jamaicensis (Jamaican fruit-eating bat), 1486 nucleotides long. RefSeq lists it as uncharacterized. NCBI's taxonomy places the organism in Eukaryota, Metazoa, Chordata, Mammalia, Chiroptera, Phyllostomidae. The transcript is spliced from 3 exons. The record is from RefSeq and is a predicted model, not a curated record.